AUUGAACGCUGGCGGCAUGCCUUACACAUGCAAGUCGAACGGUAACAGGUCUUCGGAUGCUGACGAGUGGCGAACGGGUGAGUAAUACAUCGGAACGUGCCCAGACGUGGGGGAUAACGAGGCGAAAGCUUUGCUAAUACCGCAUACGAUCUAAGGAUGAAAGCAGGGGACCGCAAGGCCUUGCGCGUUUGGAGCGGCCGAUGGCAGAUUAGGUAGUUGGUGGGAUAAAAGCUUACCAAGCCGACGAUCUGUAGCGGGUCUGAGAGGACGACCAGCCACACUGGGACUGUGACACGGCCCAGACUCCUUCGGGAGGCAGCAGUGGGGAAUUUUGGACAAUGGGCGAAAGCCUGAUCCAGCAAUGCCGCGUGCAGGAUGAAGGCCUUCGGGUUGUAAACUGCUUUUGUACGGAACGAAAAGGCUCUGGCUAAUACCUGGGGCACAUGACGGUACCGUAAGAAUAAGCACCGGCUAACUACGUGC
This 483-nucleotide ribosomal RNA is filed under the name uncultured bacterium. RNAcentral describes it as "partial 16S ribosomal RNA". It matches the Rfam family "Bacterial small subunit ribosomal RNA", at positions 30 to 508 of the family's 1533-position model. The record is from RNAcentral.